UUACACACUGUAAAAAGGAAAGUAAAACUUACACUGCUUAUACAGAGAAUCUUCGUAGCUGAGAGAAGAUAUUGUAAGAAAGUUUGAAAAUGGCCUUGGAGUGUUGAUGCCAAUAUGAGGUGUCAACGGGUUCGCCCGUUAUAGCGAUACAGUAUUAACAUUUUGUUAAAUGGCGUACUGGAAUUAAAGACGCACAUUUUAUCGUUAAUACUCAUUUCUUCAAUCUCUGAAUGAAUGAGUUUUUUUAUGAACGAUAUUUUUGUGAUUUCUUCAUUUUUAUCAGUGCCUAUUAUCAAAAUGGUGUACUGAUAGAGGUUACUUUAGUAAUAAAGUAACAAACAAAGGUGGUACCACGAAAUCAAAGCUUUCGUCCUUUAC
RNAcentral lists this non-coding RNA (378 nucleotides) under Streptomyces sp. RNAcentral's name for it is "T-box sequence". It matches the Rfam family "T-box leader". From Rfam's summary of the family: Uncharged tRNA acts as the effector for transcription antitermination of genes in the T-box leader family. The record is from RNAcentral. Lineage: Bacteria; Bacillati; Actinomycetota; Actinomycetes; Kitasatosporales; Streptomycetaceae.